UUCAUCUCCGGGGGUAGAGCACUGUUUCGGCUAGGGGGCCAUCCCGGCUUACCAACCCGAUGCAAACUGCGAAUACCGGAGAAUGUUAUCACGGGAGACACACGGCGGGUGCUAACGUCCGUCGUGAAGAGGGAAACAACCCAGACCGCCAGCUAAGGUCCCAAAGUCAUGGUUAAGUGGGAAACGAUGUGGGAAGGCCCAGACAGCCAGGAUGUUGGCUUAGAAGCAGCCAUCAUUUAAAGAAAGCGUAAUAGCUCACUGGUCGAGUCGGCCUGCGCGGAAGAUGUAACGGGGCUAAACCAUGCACCGAAGCUGCGGCAGCGACACUGUGUGUUGUUGGGUAGGGGAGCGUUCUGUAAGCCUGUGAAGGUGUGUCGUGAGGCAUGCUGGAGGUAUCAGAAGUGCGAAUGCUGACAUAAGUAACGAUAAAGCGGGUGAAAAGCCCGCUCGCCGGAAGACCAAGGGUUCCUGUCCAACGUUAAUCGGGGCAGGGUGAGUCGACCCCUAAGGCGAGGCCGAAAGGCGUAGUCGAUGGGAAACGGGUUAAUAUUCCCGUACUUGGUGUUACUGCGAAGGGGGGACGGAGAAGGCUAUGUUGGCCGGG
RNAcentral lists this ribosomal RNA (604 nucleotides) under Salmonella enterica. RNAcentral describes it as "partial 23S ribosomal RNA". It matches the Rfam family "Bacterial large subunit ribosomal RNA", at positions 889 to 1495 of the family's 2925-position model. Lineage: Bacteria; Pseudomonadati; Pseudomonadota; Gammaproteobacteria; Enterobacterales; Enterobacteriaceae. RNAcentral also lists the same sequence under 1 other name. The record is from RNAcentral.